This 253-nucleotide ribosomal RNA is filed under the name uncultured bacterium. Its description in RNAcentral is "partial 16S ribosomal RNA". It matches the Rfam family "Bacterial small subunit ribosomal RNA", at positions 524 to 776 of the family's 1533-position model. The record is from RNAcentral.
UACGGAGGGGGCUAGCGUUGUUCGGAAUUACUGGGCGUAAAGCGCACGUAGGCGGCUUUGCAAGUUAGAGGUGAAAGCCCGGAGCUCAACUCCGGAAUUGCCUUUAAAACUGCAUCGCUAGAAUUGUGGAGAGGUAAGUGGAAUUCCGAGUGUAGAGGUGAAAUUCGUAGAUAUUCGGAAGAACACCAGUGGCGAAGGCGACUUACUGGACACAUAUUGACGCUGAGGAGCGAAAGCGUGGGGAGCGAACAGG